Molecule: ribosomal RNA, 497 nt
Filed under: uncultured bacterium
Lineage: Bacteria
Description: partial 16S ribosomal RNA
Rfam family: Bacterial small subunit ribosomal RNA
Source: RNAcentral
GAUGAACGCUGGCGGCGUGCCUAAUACAUGCAAGUCGAGCGAACAGAUGAGGAGCUUGCUCCUCUGACGUUAGCGGCGGACGGGUGAGUAACACGUGGAUAACCUACCUAUAAGACUGGGAUAACUUCGGGAAACCGGAGCUAAUACCGGAUAAUAUAUUGAACCGCAUGGUUCAAUAGUAAAAGACGGUUUUGCUGUCACUUAUAGAUGGAUCCGCGCCGCAUUAGCUAGUUGGUAAGGUAACGGCUUACCAAGGCAACGAUGCGUAGCCGACCUGAGAGGGGGAGCAGAGAAACGGGAACUGAGAAGCGGAACAGACUCGUGCGGGAGGCAGAGGUGGGGAAGAUGGGGCGAUGGGCGAAAGACGGAUAGAGCCAUGCCGCGGGUGUGAAGAAGGUCUUAGGAUUGUAAAGCACUGUAAGUUGGGAGGAAGGGCAGUGAGUGAAGAACUGGAGGGGGUGACGGUAAGAAAAGAAGAAGAAACGGCUAACUUAGUG